AAUAUUCAAGAGCAUAUCUGAAUGCUAAAGUCUUUAGCUGGAAACAUGUGAGAACAUAUUUGCACAACACCAGGCAAGGAAAUGUGGUUCUAAAUUCUAAUCUGUAAUGGAUUUUGGGACUUGUGGUAGAUAGAGGUCAUAAUGGAGCUAGUACAUAUAUUUAAGUGGAUCUUCGAGGAUUUAAACCCAAUUGUGUAUCUUGAUUGUUAAACAACGAACAUUGAAUAAAAC
RNAcentral lists this long non-coding RNA (231 nucleotides) under Medicago truncatula (barrel medic). Its description in RNAcentral is "long non-coding RNA (MTRU_LNC008205)". The record is from RNAcentral. Lineage: Eukaryota; Viridiplantae; Streptophyta; Magnoliopsida; Fabales; Fabaceae.